This 525-nucleotide ribosomal RNA is filed under the name uncultured bacterium. Its description in RNAcentral is "bacterial SSU rRNA". It matches the Rfam family "Bacterial small subunit ribosomal RNA", at positions 8 to 526 of the family's 1533-position model. The record is from RNAcentral.
AGAGUUUGAUCAUGGCUCAGAUUGAACGCUGGCGGCGUGCCUAACACAUGCAAGUCGAGCGGUAACAGGCGUAGCAAUACGUGCUGACGAGCGGCGAACGGGUGAGUAAUGCUUCGGAAUCUGCCCAGUAGUGGGGAAUAACCAGCCGAAAGGUUGGCUAAUACCGCAUACGUCCUACGGGAGAAAGCGGGGGAUCGCAAGACCUCGCGCUAUUGGAUGAGCCGAAGCCGGAUUAGCUAGUUGGUAGGGUAACGGCCUACCAAGGCGACGAUCCGUAGCUGGUCUGAGAGGACGACCAGCCACACUGGGACUGAGACACGGCCCAGACUCCUACGGGAGGCAGCAGUGGGGAAUAUUGGACAAUGGGGGAAACCCUGAUCCAGCGACGCCGCGUGUGUGAAGAAGGCCUGCGGGUUGUAAAGCACUUUUGUCCGGAAAGAAAUCCUCUGGGUUAAUACCUCGGGGGGAUGACGGUACCGGAAGAAUAAGCACCGGCUAACUACGUGCCAGCCGCCGCGGUAAUAC